Molecule: long non-coding RNA, 11982 nt
Filed under: Zostera marina
Lineage: Eukaryota; Viridiplantae; Streptophyta; Magnoliopsida; Alismatales; Zosteraceae
Description: long non-coding RNA (ZMAR_LNC001659)
Source: RNAcentral
UAUCUAUUUUUGUGGUUUCUUUGUCGUUUUCUUUAUUGAUUUUUAUUCAUUCUUGUUCUAUUAAUAGGUUACCAAAUUCUUGUUCUAUUUGAAGAAGAGAGUUUCCCAUCUCUUGCUCGGGUACCUUCUCCAAGUUAUAAGGAACCAGAUGGAGGCCAUUGAAUUGUUAGUCUACCUUCCUCCAUUGGAGUCUGAGGCAUAGAUGGACCGAAAGUGGAAUCAUCUAGCUUUAGAUGGGGGAGGAGAGCACGACUUGUGCUAGAACUUCUUCAAGAAAUUUGACAAAUUUACGCUUCUCAACCUUACUCAUGGCUCUCGCGUCUUGAUGUUACAAGAGUUGCUCGUGGAGGGUACGUAAGGCUAUCCCCAACUGAAUCUUUGACUGGGGGAAAGAUGAUUCCGUCAGGGAAUUUGAUGUAAAAAUUCGAAAAACAAACAUAUAACAUUAUUAUUAGAGGAAACGUUUCAAAUAAAAUAUUUAAAAUAAUAUAUAUUUUGUGAAAUAUUAAUUUAGAACGUUCAUUUAUUUUAAAUUAAAUUAAACACAUCUUAAGGUAGAUCAUAUCAUUUAAUUAGUGGAAUGUUUUAGAGAUUAAUUUUAUACCAUUUAAAUGAAAUAAAAGAGUACUUAUACUAUUACAACAUUUGUAAUUAAUUAAUUAAUUAAUUCUAAAGGAUUUUUAAUAUAAAAAUUCUAAUUGGAGCAGCGGUCUUCCGCUUCUCUCUCCGGCUCGGACCCGGUUCAUCACCGUUGGGUGAUUUUUGUUUACCGUGGUCUUCCCCCAAUUAAGUUAGGAUUUAGGUCGUCUUCUUCAACAACAACUCUUCUAAUCGUCGUGCUAUCUUCCUGGAUAGUGGAGCAGUCUAUCAGCAUCAUAUCAUCGUCGGCUUCUUCAGAUUCGGCAUUGUCUUCAAUGUUGAUAGGAGGGAAAAGACGCAACACAUCUUCAUGAAAUUCCCAAGACGAGUCCUCCGGUAUCGCUCCAUUCCAAGCGACCAGCCAUUGAUUUCUCUGUCUCGAUCUCACCCUGAAAAAUGGUACGUUUAUUAGAAUAAAUAACUUCUACUGUUUUUUUAGUUGAGUUUAAUAUUCUCAAAUACAAUUAAGUUUAUACAAUGAGUUAGUUGUUAGAGGUUAAUUAGUUUUAGAUACUCUUUCUUAUAAAUUCUUUUGUAAGACUGUAUUCUUGGUUAAUGAAUUAAGUUCUUUCUUUUGAGAUUAUUGUUGAAUUGAGCUUGAAACAAGCACCAAAAUCUUGGUACUCAAGACUGAGUGCAUUCCUAAUAUUAAAUGAAUUCACUAACAGUCUGGCAGAUACAUUAUUGUUUCAAAAAAAAGAUAAUAUUUUAAUUUGAGUAAUUGUGUAUAUAUAUAGAUGACAUUAUAAUUUCAAGAAACAACAACAUUGAAAUUGAAGUUUUUAUUAAAAAUCUUUGUACUGAAUUUAGAUGUAGAGACCUAGGACUUUUGAAAUAUUUCUUUAGUAUAGAAAUUAGAUACAAUUUUGAUGGGUCACUUAACAUGACUCAACCUAGAACUUUUGGACUGGUCCAUGUUCCGAUCUUUAAAUAUAAAAAGGGUUUUGUAAAUUUGAUUUUGGUUGUAAACACGAAUCAUCUUGUAGGGUUUCAGCGGGAAAUGAGGGUUUCACUGGAGGCAAGGGUUUGCUGGAGGCAAUCGUUCGGGUAUGUUUCUAGUCUUCUUCUUUUGUGCAUGUCGCUCUAUUCUUCUUGUGUAUGUUGUCUUUGGUUGGGUAUCCUUAUUCAUUUGUAUUCUUAAUGGGUUUUGUAGUGGGUGUUCUGUCUGUUAAUGUGUUUGCAUGUCAGUGUUUUCUUUCAUGGUGUUUGUUUUCCUUCAUCCUUUGUGUUUGUUUUCCUCUAUCAGUCUGUUCCGUGUAAGUUUUCCAUAUUCAGUUUCUUUUUGAGAUGAUUGAAUAGAUAUCCUGUAACAUCUUUUGUGAAGAUGUCUUCCACGUUUUCUUUGGUGUUUACCCUUUCUAUUUCAAUCUCUUUUUGCAAAGCUUUGUCUCUGAUCGUGUGUGUAUCGAUUUCUAUGUGUUUUGUUCUUUGAUGUAAGACUGGGUUUGUUGCGAUUGCAGUUGCAGAGGAACUAUUUGUAUAGAGUUUUGGAGUUACUAUAUUUACAUGCAUUUCCUUUAAUAGUUGUUUUAGCCAUGUGAUUUCACAAGUUGUGUGUGCUAAGGGUCGGUACUCUUCCUCUGCUGACGAUCUUGCCACUGUAUGUUGUUUUUUGGUUUGCCAUGAAACUAGGUUAUCAUUCAAGAAGAUGGCAAAUCCUGAUGUGGAUCGUCUGGUUGUGGGGCAAGAGGCCCAGUCAGAGUCUGAAAAUACUUUAAUCCUUCAGGUUCUUGUGCCUGAUGAGAAGAAAAGUCCACUUCCUGGUGAGUUUUUAAUGUAUCUUAAUAUUUUGUUCACCUUAGUAGAGUCUUCAUUUGUUGGUUCUGACAUGUGUUGGCUUAGUUGGUUUACUACAUAUGUUAUAUCGGGUUUGGUUACAGUUAGGUAGACAAGUUUUCCAACUAUGCAUCUGUACUCAGUAGGAUCAUCAAGUAAUUUAAUUUCCUUGUUCUGUUUGUUUGGCGAUCUUGAUGGUGUAUAGAGUGGGUAUUCUCCUGGUUUAGCAUGUAGAUAGUUGUUUUGUUCAAGGAUUUCUAAUUCAUAUUUUCUUUGGCUAAUAAAAAUCCCAUGUUGUGUUGUUGUGAAUUCUAAUCCUAAGAAUUUUUUUAAUGUUCCUAGAUCUUUGAUGUUAAAAAAACUGGUUAAAUCUGUCUUAAGUUUGAUUAUUUCUUUUAAGUUAUUUCCUGUGAUUAAUAGAUCAUCUACAUAUGGUAGGAUGAAAAUUUUAUUUUUCCCAUUGAUCUUACCGAAGAGAGCAUAAUCCUCUCUUGUCUGUUUAAAACCUAAUUUGUUUAGUACUUGUUGUAGUUUGUUAAACCACAUUCUAGAUAUUUGUUUUAAGCUAUAUAGAGGUUUUGUUAAUUUGCAUGCUAGUUUGUGGUUAUCUGUUGGUUCUUUGUUGAUCCUUAGACCUUGGAGAAUGUCCAUAUGUAGACUUCUUCAUUUAAGUCUCCAUGUAAGAAGGUGGUGAGACAUGCCUGAUUACGGCAGUCACUCCCAGCAACGCCUUUCAACAAGGACUAGAGUUCCGUCGCUUUACCCCCGGAAGGCUCCCACGGUGCGGAACAAGUUCAUCGUCAAAUCGCGAGUUAACCCAUAAAUCGCAAUUGGACUACCAAAUCGCCGAUUUUAGGGACAAAUCGUUGAGUUAGGUCCCAGAUAGGCAGUAUGGUAGACUGCAUAUCUCGCCCCUUGAAACUCGACUAGUUUACCCUAAUAGGCAAUUUUCAUACCUGAAUCGUCGAUUUACGACCGUUACUCGCCGCCAGCCAACGCCAUAAAUGCACCCAUAUAUGGCAAUAGGCGCGAUGUCCGCCUUUGAUCGCGCCCUCCGAGACCAUAUAAAAAGGGUCCCAAGGGGACACUCAAAGGCACAACACAAGUUCCACUCUCACCAGAGCACCACUAAGAGAAUCGCCGAUUCCCACACCAGAAUCGCCGAUUCUCUCCUUUCAGGUAUUUGACGUAGAGCGUGUGUCGUGGACUCCAGAGCCUCCGCGAGCCCUGGUAGCAGAUUCUGUGCUUCAUCAAUCCUUCAGUGGAUGCUAGGGAGAUAAGUGUUCUUAGUGUGGUCAUUCUAGAAACUGGUGCAAAAGUUUAUGUGCAGUCUAUCCCCUCUGUUUAGUUAUAGCCCUUGGCAACCAAUCUAGCUUUGAAUUUGUCUAGGCUUCCAUCAGCCUUAAGUUUUGUCUUAAAAACCCAUUUGCAAUCUAUGAUUUUUGUCUCUCUUGGUACUUCAGUGAUUCUCCAAGUGUUGUUUUGUUUUAGUGCAUUUAUUUCAUUGCUUCUUGCCAGUGUGAUACUUGGCUUGCUUUUUGUAAUUUUUAGGUUCUAUGUGUUCUGAAAUUUUAAUUAGAAAUGCUCUGUGUUUUUCCGAAAAUUUGUUGUAGUUGAUGUGGUUGCUUAUUGGAUAUUUUGUUGUGUUGUAACAAACGUAGUCAUCCAAUUUUGUGGGUCUCUUUCUCUCUCUUGUGGGUCUUUCAGGCUUUUCUCUCCUAUUGUUUCAUCUUCUACAUGGUUGUUUGAGUUUUCAGAGUUUUGGUUGUCAUGAUUUUGUUGAAUUGCUUGGUCUUGGAUUUGUGUUCUCAUUGUUGAACUUGAUUUCAGUAUCUAUAAGGAGGAUCCCAUUUUCCUUUUCUUCUAUGUUUUUGAAAGGGAAGAUAUUUUCAUGGAAUAUUACAUCUCGGUUGAUAAUUAUUUCAUUGUUUUUAAUAUCGAGAAUCUUGUAUCCUUUUGUUAAUGUAGAAUACCCUAGAAAUACCCCUUUUGUGGCUCUGGCCUCAAAUUUAUUUGUCGGUUUAUUGAUUUUUGAGUAGCAAAGACAUCCAAAUUUUUUGAGACUUUCAUAUGAUGGUUCUUUUUGGAAGAGUCUGAAAUAAGGGGUUUCAUUAUUGAUGGUUGGUGAGAACAUUCUAUUUAUGAGAUAGCAAGCAGUUUGGAUGCAUUCUCCCCAGUAAGUUGUUGGAACUUCAGAUUGGAAUAUUUAGCAUCUAGUUAUGUCUAGGAUGUGUUUGUGUUUUCUUUCUACUAUUGAGUUUUGUUAUGGGGUGUAGAGGCAAGUGAGUUGGUGUUUUAUUCCAAAGCCCUAUAGAAAGGUUUGGAGGUUUACGUUAAGGAAUUCAGUACCAUUAUCGGUUCUGAUUGUUUUCACAGAAGUGUCAAAUUGGUUGAUUGCUUUUGUGAUGAAAUGUUUUAGUUUUCCUGGUGUUUCCCCUUUAUUGUGUAAUAGUAUUAUCCAGGUGGCUCUACUAAAGUCAUCCACUAUGGUGAUGAAGUAGUGGUGACCAUUGUAUGUUGGUGUUCUGCAUCUUCCCCACAAGUCAAUAUGUAGUAAUUCAAAAAAAUUCGUAGUUUUGGAAGUACUUGUAGAAAAUGAUAAUCUAAUAAAUUUUGCAGUUGGACAUUCAUUACAUAAAAUAUUUUUAAACAUAGGAAUAGAUGGAUUGUUUUUCCUAAUUAGAUUGUAUCUCAAAAUUAAAGAAUGUCCUAGCCUUCUAUGCCACAGCUCUGCAUUUUUUUGAGCUGAAUUUACCCAUACUUGUCCUUCUUUCGUUUCUUCAGAUGAUAGGAUGUAGAGUCCUUUCCUUUUAACCAUAGAAAUCGAAUUCAUCUUCGAAUCCUGUAUUAGACAGUGGUUAUUAUAGAAAACGAAAAAGCAGUUAAUUGAAUUUGUCAGCUUUGUGACAGAGAUCAAAUUAACAUUGAAAUUUGAAAUUUUUAACAUUGGAUCUAGUGUUAAUUUUUCAUUCAGGGUGAAUGUUCCAACCUCGUGCAUAAUUGCUAUGUGAGAGUUUGGCAUAUGGACCUUAAUAGGAUGGUUAAGUAUCCUUAUGUUGGAUAGCUGGAUUACCGGACCACACAUGUGGUAUGUGGCUCCACUAUCUAUCACCCAUUCAUUUUGUCUAUUCACUGUUGAAAUGAAGCAGUAAGAUUGUGUACCUGAUUUUUCUAUGUCAUGGGUUGUAGAUCUUCCCACGUUUGCAGAGUGUUUAGGUUUGUUUUGUCAUUGUAGCAUGGACAUGAGUUGCUCAAUGGUGUAGCUUGGUUGUCCUUCUGAAUAAUUGACUCUAUUUCUUGUGGGGUUUCAUGGUGAUCUUCUUGGUUGUAGUUAUCUUGGUAAUUGUAGUCUUCCCAGUUUUGUUGUUCUUGUGGCUCUUCUGAAUCCUCAGUGUAUGUGUUGUUUGCCCUGUAGUUUGCCUAUUGUAAUUCCUGCCAUACUGGUUUUUGUUUUCCCUUCUUGGGUAGCUAUUUGUUGGAUUGUAGGGUCUGUUAGGUCUCCUGAAAUUUUGUGAGUUAUUUCCAUUGUUGUAUGUUUGCCUUUCAGGGUAUCCAUGUACUUGGUAGCAAUUGUCAACAGUGUGCCCUGAUCUUUUGCAAUGUGUACAGAAGGGCCUUUCUCUUAUCUCUGGUUUUGAUGGUUUGUAAGGGUCAUUUGCCAGUAAGGUUGUUGUUACCUCAGUUGUGGGUACUGUGUGAUUUCUUUGCUGUUAUUCUUGUUUGAUUAUAGGAUAUAAUUCACCAAGUUUUGGGGUCGAUUUCUGAGCCAUUAGGACACCUCUAAUUGUUGUGUAGGUUUCAUUCAGUCCCAUUAAGAAUUUUACUGAUCUUGCAAAUUCAUCAGGGGGGUUAAUGUCUUCUUUGUUGGUGUCAUAUGUGCUCUAGAUGAGUUUAGUCAGUUUGGUGUAGUAUGUGCAUACUGAGUCUUGUCCUUGGUAGAGUGUGUAUGUUUGUACUAGGACAUCAUAAAGCAUUGCACCAUUUGAUUGGUUGUAUCUGAUUGCCAAUUCAUCCCAUAAUAUCCAUGGUUUGCUAGCUGUGAGAAAAGAUGGUUGUAGCUCUGGUGUGAUGGAGCUUAGUAAUCAAGAAUGUAUCAUAGUGGUGCAGGCCUUCCAUUUUCUAUGUUCCUUUGAAUAUGUUUCUUGGUCUGGUUCUGGUAUGACUCCAAGUAGGAACCCUAAUUUUGAUCUACCUUCUACUGCCAUUUCAAAAUGCUUUUUCCAUACUGGAUAGUUAUUACCAUCCAGUUUAAUAGUUACCAUAAAAUGUGAAGAGAAUUCUGAACUGUAGAUGUCAUCCUCUUUUGUUUUUGUGCUUUGUAUGUUUUGAUCAUCAUAUUCAGACAUUUUCUGCAGAUUCAUAAUUAGCUAAUUACGUGGAGUUUGUAGAAGGCGAAAAUUCUAAGUAGCAAAUGUGAAUGUGGAAGUUAAUACUAAGGAGUGUGUUGACCACUUGAUGGUCGAGGAAGAUGUUGAUCCUCCUCCUGAUCCUACUGAAGAUGAGGCUACAAUGAUUCGUAGGGCUACUAGAAAGAGGAACAGGGAGGAAGGAGAAGUGUUCCACGAUCCUUUCACAGUGUGGAUGGAUGACUGCUGGAGGAAAGGUAUUUCCCCUGACCUUAAUAAUGCACCUAGGUAUCGUGAUUAUAAAUGGGAAAAUGAUGAUGAGCUUCCACCUUGAGAUGGUCGUUUUGAUGAAAUGUUUAAUUCAGAUACAGAAGUUAAUGGAGGUAUCUAUGGAUUUAGUGAAGAUUCUGAGGUUGAUCGUCUCUAUGAUCGUGAGAUGUUGGGAGUGAGUGUGGACAUUGUAAUUGUUAUAAGUGAUGAUGAUGAUGAUGCUGAGGAUAGUGAUGCUUGGUAAUCCUGAUUAUAUGGAGUUGAUCUUCGACACUUGAAAGAACUGAAGAAAGAGAAUAAGGGUAAUGUAGAGCCAGACUAUGAGAAGUGGCUCAAGAUGAUACUUAAGAAGAAAUCGAAGUGAGGAUUUUCCUCAUCUUUUUGAAGUAAAGAAAAAAAACUUUAUAUAUUUUGUUUUCUCUUUGAGAAUAAAUACUUUCCCUUUUUUUUAUUAACCUAUUACUUGGGUUUGUUUUACUAUGGGGAUCUCAAUCGCUCUGAUACCAUGUUAAGUUUUAAUGUGUAUGAAAUAUAAUCCAAGUAUGGUUUAAUGAUUAAUCCAGAGUAAAGCAAAAUAGUGUUGAUGCAGCGGAUAAUAUUGAUUGUUUAAUUUAUCUAAUGAGUAUGAUCAAGAUGUGUUGCAGGUAGAUAAUGUUUGACAGGGAUGAUAUAUAUAUGAUUUGUCCAAGUAGAAGCGGAGAUAUGUGUAUGCAAUAGAUAUCAGGUAUGAUAUAUAUAUGAAAUGUAAGCAGAUGAUUUAGCAAUACUGAGAUCGUUUGGAGAGCGAGGAGAUGACGAUGUAGGAGAGUCGAUGAUUGAGUGUAGAGCAGAUCGGAGUGAAGUUGAUGAUGACUUUGAUCCACAGAUGAUGAUUCCCAAAGGGAGUAUGAUUUUGAAACUUAGUAUCACAAACUGUAAAACAAUGUUAGGUUUGAGUUUGAUCUAUAUAGAUGGUUUAAAUGUUUGAUUCCAGCUUACAACGGUCAUAAGCUCAAGGUUCAACUGGCGCUUGUUGUCCUGUUGCUGAAGGCAAAGGUGACAUCAAGUGAUGGUUGGACCUUCCUAAGAUUUCUAUCAUAUUAAAGGUUUAGGUAUUAAAUUGAUCAUGUAAGGGUUUAGAUUGUAAAUUGGUUAAUGAGGGUUCAUAUUGUAAAUGUUGUAAUUAUGGAUUUAUGUAAUAAUUUUAUAGAAACCCAGUUAUCAAAAAUAUGUCAAAACAUAUUGAGAGUGACAUCCAUUACAUUAGAGAAUUAAUUACAAAUAGUUUAAUAGUAGGAAAAUCUCCAUCCCUGUUCCGGACUGAAAUCCCCGUCCAUUUCCCUGCCCCGGAUAAUAUUCGUACCGUGGUAAAUUAUAUUUAUACCUUAUAUAAUAUCUUAUAUAGUAUAAUUUAUAUAAAUAACCCUAUAUAAUAUAUUAAAUGCAUAGGUUUAUAUUCAAAAUGUAUCCAUAAAAAAUUUAUAUUUAACCCUAAAUCCCUAAAAAUUUAAUUUUUAACUAUUUGGAUGAAUUGUGAUUUAGAGAUAAUAAAUAUAAAUUUAGAAACUUCUUUUUUAAUUAAUGAAUCCUCGAUUAAUUUUUCACGAUAUUUUUCUUUAAAUUUUUUUUCAUAUCGAUUUUUAAUUAUAUACUAACACCACAAUUUUAGAUUUAAUUUUUAGAAUUAUUCUUUUUUUAUUCUUUAGCUGGUUAGUUGCAAUUUUCAGUUUGAAAAUAACCAUUUUAGAAUAGAAAUGAGCAUUUCUCUCUCUCUCACCCAUUUUUUUCUUUCAAAACAACUAUAUAAUCAUCGAUAGAUAUCAAUCAAUCUAUUGAAAGGAGAAAGAAGACGUGAGAUCUCGAUAGUUCUUUCGAAUUUUGAUUUUUCUUAGGUCAAGAAUGGUUCACGUAACCGAGAUGGAGGAAAACAAUUUAAGUGAGGUUGAUUGCUUUUCUUCUCAAAAUAAUUCGACCCAAGCAACCAAUUUUUUUCCACAGGUUUAUUUAUCAUUGUUUUAGAUUCUAAACAUUACAUUUGUUCUAUUUCCUUCUUAUUCUUUUUUCUUUUGUAUAUGACAAUUCUCUCAUUUCAUUUUAUAUUUUUAUUUAUCAGGGAUCAUCAACUCCAUUGUCUCAAAAUAAUUCGACCCAAAUAAUGAAUUCUUCUGGGCAGGUUUAUUUAUCAUUGUUUUAGAUUCUAAACAUUACAUUUAUUCUAUUUCCUUCUUAUUCUUUUUUUCUUUUGUAUAUGACAAUUCUCUCAUUUGAUUUUAUAUUUGUAUUUAUCAGAGAUCAUUAAGACCCCAAAAUAUACCUAGUAUUGAGCGUAACCGAAAUUCCCAUAGCCAUAGGCGUCGUUCCACACAAAAUCAUCAAUCUCGAAGACGUCAGCAAGUUGAUUGGGUUUCUUCAUUAAAGCAGUCGAUUGUUAUUCCUCCUUACCCUAUAAACCAAGCUAUUUAUCCUCCAUUUAAUGUUGUUCCUGCUCCCCUUCCGAUGGAAAUGAAUCAAUAUCCUUACCCAACAAAUUUUACUACUAGACAACCAUUCGUGAUGAAUUCUUGGCACGAUUGCAGAUAUCUACCAUUUCCUCGUCAUCAACCUUUUGGGUUUAAUCCUCUCAGUAACUUUUACAGACCACAAGAGCAUAACUCUAGUUGGACGUCAAUAAAUCCACAGAUACCUGGUAGACAUUUCAAUCAGGCACACCAACCUUAUCCAUUUUAUCCCUCAUGUAAUCCAUUCCAAAUGCGAAUUAUGAAUCAAAGACCUUAUUUUAUGAAUAUGCAAGCACCGGCAUUUAUACCAACUCAUGGAGUGUAUGGAAAUGAUUACAACCAGGGUACCACCCACUUCUUCUGAUUAUUUCUACCAAUUGCUAAUUUUAUCAUUCAUCAUUCAUAUAUAUUUAGGUAAUGCAGUUCAUUAUUCUGCACCAUUUGAAUCGUCGAAUCUUAAUGAUCUUCAAGAGUUGAAGACGAGUAUACGUGUUCAAAUUGAAUAUUACUUUGGGUAUAUAUCAUUUCAUAUAUGAGAUUUUUUUUUUUAAGUAUAUAUGUUUUUGUAACGUUUUCAUUGUAUUUUUAUAGAGAUACCAACUAUCCAACUGAUGAUCAUCUACACAAAAAAAUGGAUAAAGAAGGGUGGGUGGACAUAUCUGAAAUCGCACAAUUUAGAAUGGUGUGUUCAAAAUAUUUAUCGUUCUAGGAAGUUACAUAUUCUCAAUAUUUCCAACUAACAACUAUAUAUGCUUCAAUUGUGAUGUUACAGAUAAGAAGAAAAAAUGUUGAUUUAUCCCUUAUUUUAGAAUCUUUGAAAUCGUCAAAAAUGAUCGAAAUAAAGGUAAUUAUAAUACAUGUAAAAAUUAAAUUUCACUAUGACUAAUUAAGUGCUUGAUACAAUUUUAUUUAUCGAUCAUAAAGAGUAUAAUUUUUUAAAUGGUGUUGUAUAUUUAACAUUUAUGUUGUUUUUUGUUUAUAGGGAAAUAAGAUAAGAAAAAUCAUUCAUGAAAAAAUGCUUCCAUUACCUGAAACGACGACCGAUACAAGUCAAUGAUAAAGAGCUUAUCGGCCUCAAGAAGUUUUAACUUUAUUUUUAAUUUGAACCUUAUUAUCUGAUUUUUACAACAUUUAGUUAGCCAUUAAUAAUUGGUUAAGUGACAUUUCCACAGUUUGAUUUUUGGCUACAUUUCGUUAGCCAUUUUUUGUUUGAUUGUCAUUUCGUCAUUUUUAUGUUCGACCAGAUUUCGUUAACCAUUUUUUAGUUGUGUGUCUUUUUGCUGUUUGAUUUUUGGCUAUAUUUUGCUAGCCAUGUUUGAGUGAGCCUCAUUUUGGCUGUUUGUACUUUAUAGACUUCAUUUUAACAUUCUAAAUUGAAGAAUUGAAUUUUUUUUGUUAAUUAAUUUGAGGUUAUCAACUUUGAUACUUUUCUUUUAUCCAUGUAUUUUGGUUAAUAGCAAGAACCUAGUGAAGCUCAAAUAAAAAUUGCAAACGAUCAAGUGAAUGGAAAUAACAAAAUAAAUAAAUGUCAAAUACCACAAGAAAUACCAUAAGAACUGCAAAGCAAGGCAUAUUUGAAGGUGUUUCGAUCUGCAUCUUUCCUGUGACGGAAAGGAUAUACAAUGUGAGAAUUGAUUGAAACGCAACUUGUGUUGAAAUAUACUUACAGAUUCAAACGCAACUUGUGUUGAAUCCAUUACAACGGAAGUACAGAUAGACGAUAUCUAUUUGUUUGUUCUUUUGUAUUAUCGAUAUUUAUUGUCUAUUUUUUAUAAUGUUCUUGUCUAUUUUUAUAUUUACAGUCUAUGGUUUUUAGUCCUUGAUACUUGAUAGAUAUUUGAUAUCUAUUAUAUAUUUUAUCUAUUUUUGUGGUUUCUUUGUCGUUUUCUUUAUUGAUUUUUAUUCAUUCUUGUUCUAUUAAUAGGUUACCAAAUUCUUGUUCUAUUUGAAGAAGAGAGUUUCCCAUCUCUUACUCGGGUACCUUCUCCAAGUUAUAAGGAACCAGAUGGUGGCCAUUGAAUUGUUAGUCUACCUUCCUCCAUUGGAAUCUGAGGCAUAGAUGGACCGAAAGGGGAAUCAUCUAGCUUUAGAAGGGGGAGGAGAGCACGACUUGUGCUAGAAUUCUUCAAGAAAUUUGACAAAUUUACGCUUCUCAACCUUACUCAUGGCUCUCGCGUCUUGAUGUUUCAAGAGUUGCUCGUGGAGGGUACGUAAGGCUAUCCCCAACUGAAUCUUUGACUGGGGGAGAGAUGAUUCCGUCAGGGAAUUAAUGUAAAAAUUCGAAAAACAAACAGAUAACAUUAUUAUUAGAGGAAACGUUUCAAAUAAAAUAUUUAAAAUGAUAUAUUUUGUGAAAUAUUAAUUUAGAACGUUUAUUUAUUUUAAAUUAAAUGAAACACAUCUUAAGGUAGAUCAUAUCUCGAGGUUGUAUAUCUCAAUUUACUCCAAAUAAAUAUGUUAGAUUAAUAUCUCAU